Molecule: long non-coding RNA, 1136 nt
Organism: Branchiostoma floridae (Florida lancelet)
Lineage: Eukaryota; Metazoa; Chordata; Leptocardii; Amphioxiformes; Branchiostomatidae
Exons: 5
Source: RefSeq, a predicted model, not a curated record
GUAAGGGCAAAACGCAGGGUGGCUGCUCAUAAAAUAGUCUAUGCAUAACACACAUUCUCACACGAACAACAUUGCCGUCGCGAGCUGGGUUGGGUCUGCAGCAAGUCGGCUGGGCGCUGAGACAGGAAAGACUCCAGUUUUCUGGGCAAAAAUACAGGUAAACUUGUGCUACGGAGAGGCAUCCUGGAUUGGGAACUGUGUGUAUCCAGGACUGCAGUGGUCUGACUAAGGAUCUCACAUCAACGUCUCAAGGACUUCAGAGGGGCUGUGGCCACUGACAACCGGAAGUGACGACACAGAGAGGCAUUGCCCUUGAUUUAAGCACGCUGGUUGCAAGCGGGCAAGACCCCAGACAAGACCUUCUUACCCGAAGGCAGCAAGAAUCGCGAAUAAGAACAUUAAGUAACGUCUAAACCAUGGAGCUGGAUAAAGAAACCCUUCAACAGGUCCAACUACUGGUGAUCAACUUCCUCAUCAUCGCCAUCUUGUGCUUUGUGUUCUACGUUUUCUUGGAGACGUUCUUCUUUUAGUGUCCGUUGUCUUACUGAAGCAAGAUGUCUUAGUAGCAUACACCUUGUGAUUGUAAGAAACUGCUUACUUGUCCAGUGUGAUACAUGUACAUAUGUAACUGGAAAGAUGUGAUACAUGGAAACCUCUUGCAGCCCCUAGUAGUUUAGACUAAUACAAUGUAGUACAAGCAUGUAAUUAUAGAAAAAAGAACAUAUCUAUGAGCACCUGUUGCCAAUAGCAACCUACUGCUGGUCGAAAAGAGAUUGCGCAUAAUUCAAGAGGUGGCCUUAUGAACGAGGCACUCCCGUGGAUGUGCCUAUAAAAGUAAUUUUCGUAUAGAACGCUGCACACAAACGAAUGCUACGGCCUGUAGUCAAAAGCAUGCUGUAGUCAGAAGAAAGAUCGAAGAAAUACUGUUCACCACAAAAGCAUGACCUCCAGCUAGUAUUCAGCAUCCAUAUCAGGAUACCCGGAUGUCCUGAGACUGCUACAUUGUUAUUGCCCUUACAUGACCAGACAGCAAAACACAGAUUAUCUACAUAUCUGAAAUUCACGCAAUACAAACUAGUCAUGCAUUCUUUUACACAUUUCCAUCAGAGUUGUGAUUAAAGCUUGUUUGUUCGUUG